UUGAAAAAAAAACGAGUAUUCUAAUAUAUAUUUAAAUAAUAAUUAAUGUAUUACACAUUAAGAAAUAAUUAUUUUUUUAGUUUUAUCAUAAAAAUAAUUAAUUUUAAAAUAGAUAAACCGAGAAAUCAAUAUCUGAUAUCUCCCCUCAUUUUUUUUACUUUUGAAAAUAUAAAAUAAUUCUAAAAAUAAAAAUCUCUCUCAUCCUCCUCAUUUAUUUUUAUUUCUAAUCCAUACAUACACUUGCCUCUGUACUAACCACACGUGUCACUAUCAUCAACGUGUGACUCUACUUUCAGCGCUUACACGUUCUCCAUUAAGGGACCCACCUCCUUUCUUGAUCAGAACACUCCACAGCCGUUGGAUCUCUCCCAAAGCGUCUUCGGAGGGAAGCUGAAACCUGCAACACGGGCAAGUAUUCCUCUUCUUCAACCAUGGCAAAAUGCACAUCCAAUGAAACAAGUGUUCGCAUGGCAACUCACACACGUCUCUCCCUUCUCUCAUCUCUUCUCUACAUACAACACACACCCCACCACCACCUCUUCUCACCUCCACCGUCGGUAGUGCCACCACAGCUGAUGGUGCUGCUGCCACCUCUCUCCCCUCCUUCCUUCCACAACCACCCAUUAAAGCCACAAACCUCCAACACCUUAUUAUCAUCUCAACGAAAGGUAAAAGGACGCCUCCAUAAUGCACCCCAAUGCCAGACUGCAUUAACAUGGCAUCAGAGUAGCGUUUGCUUAAAAUUCCCAUCCAUUCAGUACGUGGGCUUUUGAGUAUUUCAGGGUUAUAUUGAUGGACGUCACAAAGGAGUAGGAGGAGUAGUGCUGCGUCAAGGUCUCGGUGUUUGAUGGUGGCGGAGGGAUGCGGAGGAAGUGGAGGUGGGUGGAAGUGACGGGUGAGUUGGUGGAGGGAGGAGAGGAGAUGCUUGGCAAUGAGGAGCGUUUUGUGAGGGAGGGAAAGGGAGAGGAGAAGGUGGAGGGUGAGGGAGAAGGAGGAGGGAGAGGAGAGGAGAGAGGAGAGACGGUGGUGAUGGUAGAGAGAUUGAGAGAGGAUCGAGUGGGUGAGAUCUGAAAGCUGGGGAGGAGUGAGAGUAGAGAGAGCAGCCAUGAUGGUGGUUUCUUCUUGCAGUUCCAUGAUGGGAUCGUGUGCCUGUGACUUCCACCGCAGUGGGUAAAGAUCGAGAGAAUGUGUGCCGUUUUAUGUGAAUUUGACUCACUCAUUUGUACGUUCUAAUGACAAAACUAUCCCUUUCAUUAUUACUUCAGUUUUAUAUAUUUAAAAAGAAAAAGGAUCAGUAAGACUCAACCACCCAAAAAUUAGUAUAUCAAAUUUAGAGGUAAGGACAAUCAUAGUUCUUAUAAGUGAGGGUAUAUAUUGAAGUGCUUCUUGACUUCUUGUACAUAGUUCUUAGCUCUGAUUCCACAAUUGCUUGAUUCCUAGCUAACCCAUUUACAGGGGUGAAAGUUGUUUGUCUCAAGGAAACUCUGCGUGAUUGUAAGGUGGCUGUUUCUAGCCUUGCAUAGUCCUCUGAGCUUCCCUUUGUUGUGCUUCAUGAAUGCUGCUUGUAGUCCCCCUAUGGUGGCUCCCAUGCUGCUGGCGGUGGUGAUUUGCUUUGCGAUGUUGUGCUGAGUCUUAGGAUUCGAGUCAAACACUCAUUAGUUCAAGGGUUCUGUUGUAAGGGUCUUGGGCCUUCUUUAUAUGGGCUUGGGCGUUAAUCUUGAGCUAGCUUUGUUAUAGUUGGGCUUUGGUCAUGUACAUUUACUUUCAUCAAUGAGGUAUUACAAAUAUGGUACGGACUAUAGACCUAACUAGUGCAGGCAGCACAAAUUAAGCUUGGACGAAACAGUCUUUCUAUAGUCUAAUCUAGCAAAAAAAGAAGCUAUGGACAUACACUGUGUUUUUGCAUUAGGUGAUGAAUUGAUUAACGGGUUGGUAAAUUGGAAAAACAUAGUGGACAAGAGAUAGAGGGAGGGACAGGGGAAUGUGGGUUUUUUUGUUCACAUGUACGUGUCUAGUUCAAGAACUUUUGUCGAUCCUUUUUCUUAUUAUUGUAUUUGCCUUAACCAAACAAUCAGAAGAAGAAGGAAAAAAAAUAACCAUUUGGC
RNAcentral lists this unclassified non-coding RNA (2105 nucleotides) under Hevea brasiliensis (rubber tree). Lineage: Eukaryota; Viridiplantae; Streptophyta; Magnoliopsida; Malpighiales; Euphorbiaceae. The record is from RNAcentral.